Molecule: ribosomal RNA, 752 nt
Filed under: uncultured archaeon
Lineage: Archaea
Description: bacterial SSU rRNA
Rfam family: Archaeal small subunit ribosomal RNA
Source: RNAcentral
GGACAACCUGCCCUGCGRWGAGGGAUAACUCCGGGAAACUGGAKAUAAUACCUCAUAGUUUACCAUCGCUGGAAUGCCUGGUAAGCGAAAGGUCCGCCGCCACAGGAUGGGUCUGCGGCCKAUUAGGUUGUUGUKGGUGUAACGGCCCAACAAGCCUGUGAUCGGUACGGGUUGUGGGAGCAAGAGCCCGGAGAUGGAUUCUGAGACACGAAUCCAGGCCCUACGGGGCGCAGCAGGCGCGAAAACUUUACAAUGCAGGCAACUGUGAUAAGGGAACCCCGAGUGCCCGUAUGGACGGGCUGUUCAGGUGCUUAAAAACCACUUGKAGAAAGGGCCGGGCAAGACCGGUGCCAGCCGCCGCGGUAAYACCGGCGGCUCGAGUGGUGGCCACUAUUACUGGGCUUAAAGCGUCCGUAGCUUGGUCGUUAAGCCUCUGGGGAAAUCUUCCGGCUCAACCGGAAGGCGUCUCAGGGGAACUGKCGACCUAGGGAUCGGGAGAGGUGAGAGGUACUCUGGGGGUAGGAGUGAAAUCCUGUAAUCCUCAGGGGACCACCUGUGGCGAAGGCGUCUCACCAGAACGACUCCGACAGURAGGGACGAAAGCUGGGGGMGCAAACCGGAUUAGAUACCCGGGUAGUCCUAGCCGUAAACGAUACUCGCUAGGUGUCGGCCACGGUGCGACCGUUGUCGGUGCCGUAGGGAAGCCGUGAAGCGAGCCACCUGGGAAGUACGGCCGCAAGGCUGAAACUUAA